AUUCAGAGGAGAAGAACAAGUCGGAGGAGCGGACAGAAGUCAACGCAAGCUGAAUAAGGACUUCAGAACCGCACAGCUGUGAACUAGAUUGGACCGGACAGGACACCUAAACAUGGAGAAUGGCAAAACGGAAACAGAGGACAAGACAGACGACGUUUCAGAAGAUGAAGAAGAACAUGUGGAGGAGGCUAACAUAGAGAUCGCUCAGCUGCAGGGCCUCGUGGCUGAGCUGCGCGAGGGGCUCCAUGCAGCACUGAUGGAGCUGUGCGAGCUGCGUCAGAGGGACCACGGCCUGGAGGAGAAGCUCCAGGCCCAUCAGACUGACGUCGAUGAGAAGAUAAUGGGCCUGAAGAACUCGCUCAGCACUUUCAAGGAGGAGCUGAAUGUGGCGAUGUUCCACAUAAAGGAUGUGUCCAACAGACAGAGGGAGGUGCAGAAGAGGAUAGAACUGCUGCAGUCAGAAAACACCAACGAUAUCAUCUCUGUUCCACACAGAAAGAGCUCCAAGGCAGAUGUGCUAACAGCAUCAGGAGAUGAGCACAUCUGUGUGCCCAGCCAGUCCGACCUCAGUGUUAUUCAACACUUCUUCUCCAGUCUGCCACACAGCAGCUCAACACAGAGGAGCUCCACAUCCACACAGAGUGAGUCUAAAACA
Molecule: long non-coding RNA, 655 nt
Filed under: Cottoperca gobio
Lineage: Eukaryota; Metazoa; Chordata; Actinopteri; Perciformes; Bovichtidae
Description: lncRNA (ENSCGOG00000013114.1)
Source: RNAcentral